RNAcentral lists this ribosomal RNA (497 nucleotides) under uncultured bacterium. RNAcentral's name for it is "partial 16S ribosomal RNA". It matches the Rfam family "Bacterial small subunit ribosomal RNA", at positions 28 to 507 of the family's 1533-position model. The record is from RNAcentral.
GAUGAACGCUGGCGGCGUGCCUAAUACAUGCAAGUCGAGCGAACAGACGAGGAGCUUGCUCCUCUGACGUUAGCGGCGGACGGGUGAGUAACACGUGGAUAACCUACCUAUAAGACUGGGAUAACUUCGGGAAACCGGAGCUAAUACCGGAUAAUAUAUUGAACCGCAUGGUUCAAUAGUGAAAGACGGUUUUGCUGUCUCUUCUAGAUGGAUCCGCGCCGCAUGAGCUAGUUGGUAAGGUAACGGCUUACCAAGGCAACGAUGCGUAGCCGACCUGAGAGGGUGAUCGGCGACACUGGAACUGAGACACGGUCCAGACUCCUACGGGAGGCAGCAGUAGGGAAUCUUCGGCAAUGGGCGAAAGCUUGACGGAGCAACGCCGCGUGAGUGAUGAAGGUCUUCGGAUCGUAAAACUCUGUUAUUAGGGAAGAACAAAUGUGUAAGUAACUAUGCACGUCUUGACGGUACUUAAUCAGAAAGCCACGGCUAACUACGUG